CGGGCGGUGGCCGAGGCGGACGGCGGCGACCCCCGCGCGUUCACCCGGCGCGUGGUGGGCGCGACCAUGCCACGGAUCGUGGCCGUGCUGGUCGU
This 95-nucleotide transfer RNA is filed under the name Actinoplanes sp. NBRC 103695. RNAcentral's name for it is "tRNA-Ala". The record is from RNAcentral. Lineage: Bacteria; Bacillati; Actinomycetota; Actinomycetes; Micromonosporales; Micromonosporaceae.